AUAAUAAUACUGCACAAAGUCUUUCUUCUGAAGAUAUUGAUGCAAUGAAAAGGGAAGGUGCAACUGGUGAUGAAAUAGUUGAAGCUCUCAUAGCUAACAGUUCAACCUUUGAAAAGAAGACAACACUUUCACAAGAGAAAUAUAAGGUUAAGAAGCAGAAAAAAUAUGCACCCAAAGUACUCCUUAGGCGUCCCUGCUCUAGAAGUAUAUGUGAAGCAUAUUUCAAGAAAUAUCCUACUCGAAUAGGGUAAGGAAUGCUCGGAAUUCUGUUAUUGUUAUGUGCUCAACUAUCUUCUUUUUUUGUUUUCAUCUCUUGUUUAAAACUACAAUGUAAUUGAACAUGCUUUUCCA
Long non-coding RNA from Dendrobium catenatum, 351 nucleotides. RefSeq lists it as uncharacterized. The transcript has 4 exons. The record is from RefSeq and is a predicted model, not a curated record. Lineage: Eukaryota; Viridiplantae; Streptophyta; Magnoliopsida; Asparagales; Orchidaceae.